CCUUUGAUAGCUCAGUUGGUAGAGCAGAGGACUAUAGUAGAGUCAUAGUCAUCCUUAGGUUGCUGGUUUGAACCUGGCUCAUAGGA
RNAcentral lists this transfer RNA (86 nucleotides) under Scleropages formosus (Asian bonytongue). It matches the Rfam family "tRNA". From Rfam's summary of the family: Transfer RNA (tRNA) molecules are approximately 80 nucleotides in length. Lineage: Eukaryota; Metazoa; Chordata; Actinopteri; Osteoglossiformes; Osteoglossidae. The record is from Rfam by way of RNAcentral.